Molecule: ribosomal RNA, 403 nt
Filed under: uncultured bacterium
Lineage: Bacteria
Description: partial 16S ribosomal RNA
Rfam family: Bacterial small subunit ribosomal RNA
Source: RNAcentral
GACGAACGCUGGCGGCGUGCCUAAUACAUGCAAGUCGAACGCAGUGGGGACGGGUGAGUAAAACGGGGGUAACCGCCCAUUAGAGGGGAUAACACUUGGAAACAGGUGCUAAAGCGAGACUGAUGGAUGGACCCGCGGUGCAUUAUCUAGUUGGUGAGGUAACGGCUCACCAAGGCCACGACGCAUAGCCGACCUGAGAGGUGGAUCGGCCACACUGGAACUGAUACACGGCCCAGACUCCUACGGGAGGCAGCAGUAGGGAAUCUUCGGCAAUGGGCGAAAGCCUGACCGAGCAACGCCGCGUGAGUGAAGAAGGUCUUCGGAUCGUAAAACUCUGUUGUUAGAGAAGCGGUAUCUAACCAGAAAGCCACGGCUAACUACGUGCCAGCCGCCGCGGUAAUUC